AGUUCAGCCUGGCCUUGAACUCUGGAACUCACAGUGAUCCUCCUGCCUCAGCCUCCUGAGUGCUGGGAUUACAGGUGUGCACCACCACACCUAGCUCCGAAUCCUAUUUUUAAAGAGCACUAAUUUAUAGUUAAAGAAGGAAGGUGAAAACUUUCAACUCUUAUGAUUUGUUCCUGGAGCACAGUUUCAAGAUAAGACAUAUCCUGAAAGUGACAGCAGUGCUCACAGGUCACAGGACUGGAAGUCUCCCCAAGCCCCCUGCAAGCCUGUAACCUGACCAUGCUGUCCAGGCCAGGCAGCCACCUGUCCAAGGAGCCCAAAGCACGGCAGGCAGAGAAUGACACAUUGGCGGAAGUGGACGUACACAAAAAGUGGAACCACAUAGUCACAUGUCAACAGAGGCCAGAACUUGCCUGUUAUGAUCUACACAGUGCCUUCAGAAUUCCACCCCUCUAGUGGUCUGCACCACAGACUCCACACAAAUAAUUUGCCAGUGAAGUGCUUAUAUGUGGAUGGAUCGAAGUUUUUCCUUCAAUUGCCUGAUGAAGUCAAAAUGCUGGAGUAUAAAGAAGAUUGCAUUUCAAAAGUGAAAACCGUGGACCUGUGCUUGGAGAGGAAAGAGACAUUUUAUGUUGGUUUGAUGUUGGAUAUGUAAUGGCAAGAGUGCUAAGGUGAAUCCUUCCUCAGAGUGCUCAGACGUCUGGCGGCCCAGCCACUGUCUUUGUUCUUUGGUCCUUUGUGUCUGGAAUCUCCGAACACCAAGAAACAGGGCUCUGCAUCUCCACAGCUGCUGGCACGCAGAGAAGACUGGGUAGUGUAAACUAACUGUGUCCACCAGCACCUGUGUAAACAUUGUUCAGGCCUGGACAGGGAUGAUGGGAAGGCAGCACAUUCAUAGAUGGACACAAACCCUGGUGAUCAAAGGGCAAGUCACAUGACCCAGCCUUAACUGUAUUUCCCAUUAAAAAUGCAAAUUAGGGCUGAGCAUGUAGCUCCACAGUAGAGCGCUUGCCUGGUAUGUGUGAGGCCCUGGGUCCAAUUGCCACUACCUCAAAAAUAGAACAAAAUAUAAUGUAAACUGUACACAGCUGCAGAUGGUUUCUCUAUAAAACUGAGUAGAGCAGAAAAGUCAAUUUUAGAAACUGCUUGAACUCAUGAUUUCUAAAAUCAGUGAAGACCAGGUAUAAGUCCUGAAGGAAAACCUUUUCUGUGUUCAAAAGAAAAUUAUUAGCCAAACAUCCUUGAAACCAGCAACUAUUUUCUAAGCUUUGUCUGCUGGUGGCGCGAUUCUGAAAUUUCAGCCCCUUCCACCACCUCUGCUUGUUACGUGUGUCCCC
Heterocephalus glaber (naked mole-rat) is the source of this 1337-nucleotide non-coding RNA. The record is from RefSeq and is a predicted model, not a curated record. NCBI's taxonomy places the organism in Eukaryota, Metazoa, Chordata, Mammalia, Rodentia, Bathyergidae.